CAGGCCUAACACAUGCAAGUCGAACGAAGCACUUUCUUUUGAUUCUUCGGAUGAAGAAGACUGUGACUGAGUGGCGGACGGGUGAGUAACGCGUGGGCAACCUGCCCUGUACAGGGGGAUAACAGUUAGAAAUGACUGCUAAUACCGCAUAAGCGCACGAGGACGCAUGUUCUUGUGUGAAAAACUCCGGUGGUACAGGAUGGGCCCGCGUCUGAUUAGGUAGUUGGUGGGGCAGCGGCCUACCAAGCCGACGAUCAGUAGCCGACCUGAGAGGGUGACCGGCCACAUUGGGACUGAGACACGGCCCAAACUCCUACGGGAGGCAGCAGUGGGGAAUAUUGCACAAUGGGGGAAACCCUGAUGCAGCGACGCCGCGUGAAGGAAGAAGUAUUUCGGUAUGUAAACUUCUAUCAGCAGGGAAGAAACUGACGGUACCUGACUAAGAAGCACCGGCUAAAUACGUGCCAGCAGCCGCGGUAAUACGUAUGGUGCAAGCGUUAUCCGGAUUUACUGGGUGUAAAGGGAGCGUAGACGGAGAGGCAAGUCUGAAGUGAAAGCCCG
This 561-nucleotide ribosomal RNA is filed under the name uncultured bacterium. RNAcentral describes it as "bacterial SSU rRNA". It matches the Rfam family "Bacterial small subunit ribosomal RNA", at positions 43 to 604 of the family's 1533-position model. The record is from RNAcentral.